AAAGUCGUAACAAGGUUUCCGUAGGUGAACCUGCGGAAGGAUCAUUAUGAAUGCUUGCGGCUAAGUGAAGUGUUGGAAUGAUGUGGAUAAAAUUUGACAAUCUUGACUAAUUUUAACGACCCUCCACAAUGGAUCUCUGGGCUCUU
RNAcentral lists this unclassified non-coding RNA (146 nucleotides) under Basidiomycota sp. RNAcentral describes it as "partial contains small subunit ribosomal RNA, internal transcribed spacer 1, and 5.8S ribosomal RNA". The stretch from base 1 to 47 matches the Rfam family "Eukaryotic small subunit ribosomal RNA", at positions 1785 to 1831 of the family's 1831-position model. The record is from RNAcentral. Lineage: Eukaryota; Fungi; Basidiomycota.